GUGCUUGCUUUUGCAGCACAUAUACUAAAAAUUGGGAAGAUACAGAGAAGAUUCGCAUAGUCCCUGUGCAAGGAUGACAUGCAAAUUCAUAAAGCAUUCCAUAUUUAA
RNAcentral lists this small nuclear RNA (108 nucleotides) under Dasypus novemcinctus (nine-banded armadillo). Lineage: Eukaryota; Metazoa; Chordata; Mammalia; Cingulata; Dasypodidae. The record is from RNAcentral.